GCGCCCGUAGCUCAAUUGGAUAGAGCGCAGGCCUCCGGAGCCUGAGGUUUUGGGUUCGAUUCCCAACGGGCGUA
RNAcentral lists this transfer RNA (74 nucleotides) under bacterium. RNAcentral describes it as "tRNA-Arg". It matches the Rfam family "tRNA". From Rfam's summary of the family: Transfer RNA (tRNA) molecules are approximately 80 nucleotides in length. RNAcentral also lists the same sequence under 1 other name. The record is from RNAcentral.